Molecule: ribosomal RNA, 253 nt
Filed under: uncultured bacterium
Lineage: Bacteria
Description: partial 16S ribosomal RNA
Rfam family: Bacterial small subunit ribosomal RNA
Source: RNAcentral
UACGAAGGGGGCUAGCGUUGCUCGGAAUCACUGGGCGUAAAGGGUGCGUAGGCGGGUAUUUAAGUCAGGGGUGAAAUCCUGGAGCUCAACUCCAGAACUGCCUUUGAUACUGAAGAUCUUGAGUUCGGGAGAGGUGAGUGGAACUGCGAGUGUAGAGGUGAAAUUCGUAGAUAUUCGCAAGAACACCAGUGGCGAAGGCGGCUCACUGGCCCGAUACUGACGCUGAGGCACGAAAGCGUGGGGAGCAAACAGG